GCAUGCAUUACCGGGUGAGUCUUCCUUGGCAGUGUUCGAAUCUGCAGUACUGGUCUGCAAUUGAUCGGUCAGUAUACCACUGCCAAAGGAGAUUUGCCCAGCAAUACAACU
This 111-nucleotide microRNA precursor is filed under the name Oryza punctata. RNAcentral describes it as "mir-399 microRNA precursor family". It matches the Rfam family "mir-399 microRNA precursor family". Rfam says of the family: mir-399 was identified in both Arabidopsis thaliana and Oryza sativa computationally and was later experimentally verified. mir-399 is thought to target mRNAs coding for a phosphatase transporter. The mature sequence is excised from the 3' arm of the hairpin. The record is from Rfam by way of RNAcentral. Lineage: Eukaryota; Viridiplantae; Streptophyta; Magnoliopsida; Poales; Poaceae.